AGUGAACGCUGGCGGCGUGCUUAACACAUGCAAGUCGAACGAGAACGGGCUAUAGCUUGCUAUAGUUGUCAGCUAAGUGGCGCACGGGUGAGUAAUGUAUAGGUAAAAUGCCUCUUACUAAGGGAUAACAAAUGGAAACGUUUGCUAAUACCUUAUACUCCUUAUUAACAGAAGUUAAUAAGGGAAAGAUUUAUUGGUAAGAGAUUAGCCUGUAUUGUAUCAGUUAGUUGGUGGGGUAAUGGCUUACCAAGACUAUGACACAUAACUGGUUUGAGAGGAUGAUCAGUCACACUGGAACUGAGACACGGUCCAGACUCCUACGGGAGGCAGCAGUGGGGAAUAUUGCACAAUGGACGAAAGUCUGAUGCAGCAACGCCGCAUGGAGGAUGACACAUUUCGGUGCGUAAACUCCUUUUAUAUGAGAAGAUAAUGACGGUAUUAUAUGAAUAAGCACCGGCUAACUCCGUGCCAGCAGCCGCGGUAA
Molecule: ribosomal RNA, 484 nt
Filed under: uncultured bacterium
Lineage: Bacteria
Description: partial 16S ribosomal RNA
Rfam family: Bacterial small subunit ribosomal RNA
Source: RNAcentral